CAAUAGCGUAUAUUAAAGUUGUUGCGGUUAAAAAGCUCGUAGUUGGAUUUCUGCUGAGAACGACCGGUCCGCCCUUUGGGUGUGUAUCUGGCUCUUUCUUGGCAUCUUCUUGGUGAACGUUGCUGCACUUGACUGUGUGGAGCGCUACCCAGGACUUUUACUUUGAGGAAAUUAGAGUGUUUCAAGCAGGCAUACGCCUUGAAUACAUUAGCAUGGAAUAAUAAGAUAGGACCUCGGUUCUAUUUUGUUGGUUUCUAGAGCUGAGGUAAUGAUUAAUAGGGAUAGUUGGGGGCAUUCGUAUUUAACUGUCAGAGGUGAAAUUCUUGGAUUUGUUAAAGACGAACUACUGCGAAAGCAUUUGCCAAGGAUGUUUNCAUUGA
Molecule: ribosomal RNA, 380 nt
Filed under: uncultured eukaryote
Lineage: Eukaryota
Description: partial 18S ribosomal RNA
Rfam family: Eukaryotic small subunit ribosomal RNA
Source: RNAcentral